This 82-nucleotide transfer RNA is filed under the name Coemansia erecta. It matches the Rfam family "tRNA". From Rfam's summary of the family: Transfer RNA (tRNA) molecules are approximately 80 nucleotides in length. Their secondary structure includes four short double-helical elements and three loops (D, anti-codon, and T loops). The record is from Rfam by way of RNAcentral. RNAcentral also lists the same sequence under 15 other names. Lineage: Eukaryota; Fungi; Kickxellomycota; Kickxellomycetes; Kickxellales; Kickxellaceae.
GAGAAGAAAGCAUUUUGGUAUUGCAAUCGCCCUGUAAAGGCGAUGGUUUCGACCAUUCUGGGUUCAAAUCCCAGUCUUCUCA